UUAUUAUGAGAGUUUGAUCCUGGCUCAGGACGAACGCUGGCGGCGUGCCUAAUACAUGCAAGUCGAACGCUUCUUUCCUCCCGAGUGCUUGCACUCAAUUGGAAAGAGGAGUGGCGGACGGGUGAGUAACACGUGGGUAACCUACCCAUCAGAGGGGGAUAACACUUGGAAACAGGUGCUAAUACCGCAUAACAGUUUAUGCCGCAUGGCAUAAGAGUGAAAGGCGCUUUCGGGUGUCGCUGAUGGAUGGACCCGCGGUGCAUUAGCUAGUUGGUGAGGUAACGGCUCACCAAGGCCACGAUGCAUAGCCGACCUGAGAGGGUGAUCGGCCACACUGGGACUGAGACACGGCCCAGACUCCUACGGGAGGCAGCAGUAGGGAAUCUUCGGCAAUGGACGAAAGUCUGACCGAGCAACGCCGCGUGAGUGAAGAAGGUUUUCGGAUCGUAA
Molecule: ribosomal RNA, 450 nt
Filed under: Enterococcus faecalis
Lineage: Bacteria; Bacillati; Bacillota; Bacilli; Lactobacillales; Enterococcaceae
Description: bacterial SSU rRNA
Rfam family: Bacterial small subunit ribosomal RNA
Source: RNAcentral